This 460-nucleotide ribosomal RNA is filed under the name uncultured bacterium. Its description in RNAcentral is "partial 16S ribosomal RNA". It matches the Rfam family "Bacterial small subunit ribosomal RNA", at positions 338 to 795 of the family's 1533-position model. The record is from RNAcentral.
CCUACGGGAGGCAGCAGUGAGGAAUAUUGGUCAAUGGACGAGAGUCUGAACCAGCCAAGUAGCGUGAAGGAUGACUGCCCUAUGGGUUGUAAACUUCUUUUAUAUGGGAAUAAAAUGUUCCACGUGUGGGAUUUUGUAUGUACCAUAUGAAUAAGGAUCGGCUAACUCCGUGCCAGCAGCCGCGGUAAUACGGGGGAUCCGAGCGUUAUCCGGAUUUAUUGGGUUUAAAGGGAGCGUAGGUGGAUUGUUAAGUCAGUUGUGAAAGUUUGCGGCCCAACCGUAAAAUUGCAGUUGAAACUGGCAGUCUUGAGUACAGUAGAGGUGGGCGGAAUUCGUGGUGUAGCGGUGAAAUGCUUAGAUAUCACGAAGAACUCCGAUUGCGAAGGCAGUUCACUGGACUGCAACUGACACUGAGGCUCGAAAGUGUGGGUAUCAAACAGGAUUAGAUACCCUUGUAGUC